Molecule: ribosomal RNA, 916 nt
Filed under: uncultured bacterium
Lineage: Bacteria
Description: bacterial SSU rRNA
Rfam family: Bacterial small subunit ribosomal RNA
Source: RNAcentral
ACGCUGGCGGCGUGCCUAAUACAUGCAAGUAGAACGCUGAAGGAGGAGCUUGCUCUCUCUGGAUGAGUUGCGAACGGGUGAGUAACGCGUAGGUAACCUGCCUGGUAGCGGGGGAUAACUAUUGGAAACGAUAGCUAAUACCGCAUAACAGUAGAUGUUGCAUGACAUUUGCUUAAAAGGUGCAAUUGCAUCACUACCAGAUGGACCUGCGUUGUAUUAGCUAGUUGGUGGGGUAACGGCUCACCAAGGCGACGAUACAUAGCCGACCUGAGAGGGUGAUCGGCCACACUGGGACUGAGACACGGCCCAAACUCCUACGGGAGGCAGCAGUAGGGAAUCUUCGGCAAUGGACGGAAGUCUGACCGAGCAACGCCGCGUGAGUGAAGAAGGUUUUCGGAUCGUAAAGCUCUGUUGUAAGAGAAGAACGAGUGUGAGAGUGGAAAGUUCACACUGUGACGGUAUCUUACCAGAAAGGGACGGCUAACUACGUGCCAGCAGCCGCGGUAAUACGUAGGUCCCGAGCGUUGUCCGGAUUUAUUGGGCGUAAAGCGAGCGCAGGCGGUUAGAUAAGUCUGAAGUUAAAGGCUGUGGCUUAACCAUAGUACGCUUUGGAAACUGUUUAACUUGAGUGCAAGAGGGGAGAGUGGAAUUCCAUGUGUAGCGGUGAAAUGCGUAGAUAUAUGGAGGAACACCGGUGGCGAAAGCGGCUCUCUGGCUUGUAACUGACGCUGAGGCUCGAAAGCGUGGGGAGCAAACAGGAUUAGAUACCCUGGUAGUCCACGCCGUAAACGAUGAGUGCUAGGUGUUAGACCCUUUCCGGGGUUUAGUGCCGUAGCUAACGCAUUAAGCACUCCGCCUGGGGAGUACGACCGCAAGGUUGAAACUCAAAGGAAUUGACGGGGGCCCGCACAAGCGG